Molecule: ribosomal RNA, 164 nt
Filed under: uncultured bacterium
Lineage: Bacteria
Description: partial 16S rRNA
Rfam family: Bacterial small subunit ribosomal RNA
Source: RNAcentral
UAGGGAAUCUUCCACAACGGACGAAAGUCUGAUGGAGCAACGCCGCGUGAGUGAAGAAGGUUUUCGGAUCGUAAAGCUCUGUUGUUGGUGAAGAAGGAUAGAGGCAGUAACUGGUCUUUAUUUGACGGUAAUCAACCAGAAAGUCACGGCUAACUACGUGCCAC